Molecule: ribosomal RNA, 742 nt
Filed under: uncultured bacterium
Lineage: Bacteria
Description: bacterial SSU rRNA
Rfam family: Bacterial small subunit ribosomal RNA
Source: RNAcentral
AGAGUUUGAUCCUGGCUCAGAACGAACGCUGGCGGCAGGCUUAACACAUGCAAGUCGAGCGGGCCCUUCGGGGUCAGCGGCGGACGGGUUAGUAACGCGUGGGAACGUGCCUUCUGCUCUGGAAUAGCCCUGGGAAACUGGGGGUAAUACCGGAUGUGCCCUGAGGGGGAAAGGUUUAUCUGGCAGGAGAUCGGCCCGCGUCUGAUUAGGUAGUUGGUGGGGUAAAGGCCUACCAAGCCUACGAUCGGUAGCUGGUUUGAGAGGAUGAUCAGCAACACUGGGACUGAGACACGGCCCAGACUCCUACGGGAGGCAGCAGUGGGGAAUCUUAGACAAUGGGGGCAACCCUGAUCUAGCCAUGCCGCGUGGGUGAUGAAGGCCUUAGGGUCGUAAAGCCCUUUCGCCGGGGAAGAUAAUGACGGUACCCGGUAAAGAAACCCCGGCUAACUCCGUGCCAGCAGCCGCGGUAAUACGGAGGGGGUUAGCGUUGUUCGGAAUGACUGGGCGUAAAGCGCGCGUAGGCGGAUCAGGAAGUUGGGGGUGAAAUCCCGGGGCUCAACCUCGGAAUGGCCUUCAAAACUCCUGGUCUUGAGUUCGAGAGAGGUGAGUGGAAUUCCGAGUGUAGAGGUGAAAUUCGUAGAUAUUCGGAGGAACACCAGUGGCGAAGGCGGCUCACUGGCUCGACACUGACGCUGAGGUGCGAAAGCGUGGGGAGAAACAGGAUUAGAUACCCUAGUAGUCC